Austrofundulus limnaeus is the source of this 2778-nucleotide long non-coding RNA. RefSeq lists it as uncharacterized. The transcript is spliced from 2 exons. The record is from RefSeq and is a predicted model, not a curated record. Lineage: Eukaryota; Metazoa; Chordata; Actinopteri; Cyprinodontiformes; Rivulidae.
AAAACGUCAUGUUGUGGUCACACCUGUCUUAUUCUUUUGCUAAUUCAAAAAAGACAUUCUCAAAGAUAUCUUUGAUGAUGCUUUCUCCUGACUUCCUGUUGGUCUUCCUGUAAAUGUUGACUCAAGAUAAUGAUGUGUGCUGGUCUCUUUUGGUAAAAUUAAGACGGUUUUCUUUUCUGCAUUUUCUCUUUGCGGUAACUGCUCUGAGUCACAUUUUACUCUCAACAGAGCUCCCCAAAGGCAUCCUUUUCCUCUGGCCCUGGUCUUUGUCAUUGUGUGUUAUUUCACCAGUGUGCAGUCAGUGGAAUUUUGUUUAUAGGGAUAGCUUCAUGAUGUGUUGUCUGCAUUGAAGCAGCUUUUAACACUUCUUUCCUCACACAUUUUCAUGUCCCCAAAAACAACAGUGAAGCAUUCUGUAAUCAAAGAGUAAUUAGCAGGGUUAGCUGACAGCACAGUCAGUUCAUUUAUAGCAAAGGCAAGAUAUUAAAUUAGCAGCUAGUAAAUUCAAAAAUUACAAAACCUCAUGUCUUUAUUAGCAGUUACAUUUUACAGCUACAGGUUAUGUGAGCACAGUGGCUUAAUGAGCAUAUUUUGUAUGAAAAAAUGUAAUUUUAUUUAAUAAUACAUUCUUAAUCCUCACAGCCAAUGUACACAAAAUACUAUUGUCUCAGUAUUUUUUAUGUCAUGGGAUCAGAUUAAAACCUGUAACACUUCUUUGGCACAAUAACAAAAGAUUAGGGCAUUGCUGUCUAACAUCACAAGGCUAUUCGCUUAAGAAAAAUCCUCUCAAACACCCAGUGGUUCCGUGAUGGGCACUGUUAGCUUAAGACACAUUCCUCUGGGAUUUUAUUUUAGGGUGCUGUUCGGUCCUUGUAAAGCUAAAGCAAGAAAUGUAUUUCCAUAUUUGGUAUAAAUUUAAGCUUUUUUUUCAUGGACUAGCRUUGAAGGUUUAAUCAUGGGUUGGUGGGUCUGGUUUGGGAACUCUGAAGAAUUACUUUUUUCAUAGGAUGUGACAUUGUUGGCUCCUUUAAACUAUGACCUUUAGUGGGUACUGCAGUGAUGUAUGUUGGGGGUGAACAUUUGGUUUUUGUAAGCCAUGGUUCUUGUUUGACAAAAGGYUGCUAUGUAAUUGGGUUGGAAUGUAAAAGGCACUGUAAAGUUGGAGAGUGAAGACAAGCARACAAGCCACCUUGGAGUCCCAAGUCAAAUGUAAUAGAGUGAACAGUAUUUCAUUUAAACCUGGUCACGUUUAGGGACAAAAACUGUUCCACUCUUUCUUUAAUGAGGGGCACAGUAUGCACCGGGCCAUCUUUUAGCUGAGAGUGGCAAACUGUGCCCUGGAAGACCAUCAAAAAUCUGGUGGCUUAAGCCAGGAAUGGCUGCCAGGUGUUGUCCWUUGUCGUACUGUAUAUCUUGAAUACAGGCCAGGUUCCAUCUGUGCUCAAUCCUAUAAACUCAGUAGCAGGAACUAAAUACAUAAAGAUGGAAAAAAAUGGAUUAGAUAUUAUCCAUUUAAAAUUGUUUUCCAUGCAUUUGUGUAGGAGCAACUGCUAUGUCCUCCUUCCAAAGAAAGAUAUUUCAUGAUGCAGUUGUGUUAUGGGCCAAUAAAAAAAACAUUCUAACAGAAUAAACAAUUUUCCAAUUUUAAAAAUGGACAAAAAUGUACUUGGUCUCAGUAAUGUGUUUAUUUGUUGAAAUGCAUUUAGAACAAAUUUGUCAAGUUGGCUUGCAUGAUUCACUAAGUUUAAUUGGUACAAUGUUUUUGUCAAAAUAAAUUGGCUGUUAUCUGCUUAUAGUUUCAGUUCUAGAAGACAGAAAUCAGUAACAGCUUGGUAGAACUGAAAUUUAAUAAAGCAAAAAUAAAUGUUUUAAAGCUUCAAGGAAGUACAGAUAAGUUGACCAGAAUGCUAAAGGUUUGUUUUUUUUUAAUAAGUGUACCUUCCACAGAAGACAUACUGACUGCACAAAUCGUUUCCUACAGCAGCAUUCCAAAAAGGUGACCGUAAUGUGUUUUCCUUUCAGACUAUUAGAGACACUUUGUUUUGUUGGCUUCUUGACCCAAACAGUGAGAAUUCCAGGGGCCACAUAUUGCAGCUGUGUUCCUGUGUGGGCAGUAGUCUGGUGUACAUGGGCUUUAAAGCUGCUGUAUGUAGUUUCUUGAAAACCCAAAAACAGAAAAAUUUUGAACAGAUACAACCUUGUAGUCCCUCCCCCCUGCUCUCAGCUCCCCUUCCUAAGCUCCUCCCCCACAACAGGGCCCAGAGUCGGGAGCGCGCACGCUUGUUAACAGGAGGUGAGCCACACCGUAGCUCACAGAGCUAAUCUGCCGUCACAGCUAGUUUUUGACAAUCAUCUACCAGCUGAUGGAGAGAAGCUGUGGUGGAGCAUAACGCAGGUCACUGGGAGACACAGCAGCGUGGGUUCAGCUCCUGAGAACCUCAGCAGGACAUCUGCAUCUCAACCCUACCUUCCACUCAUCAAACCAUAUAUUAUUCUGCUGGCAGGAGUCUUGUUUCUGGCCAGGAGGAUCUGUAGCUGAGCUUACAGAUGAUDCUGAAGACAACAGGCAGUUUGUGGCUUGCACUUCUGGUCAGAACAGGCUGCUGAGUGUGGACUUCAAGGACUGUUUUAAACAUCUUCAUGGACACUACAGUGGAUUUAUUCCCUUGAGGCUAUACAUUUUUAAUACUGUCUUGCCAURUAUAAAACAUUUUCCUAUUUAAAUUAAUAUUUCUAUUAUAAUUUUGGUAAAUAUUCUUCAAUAAAGUGUUAAAUGGU